GAUGAACGCUGGCGGCGUGCCUAAUACAUGCAAGUCGAGCGAACGGACGAGAAGCUUGCUUUUCUGAUGUUAGCGACGGACGGGUGAGUAACACGUGGAUAACCUACCUAUAAGACUGGGAUAACUUCGGGAAACCGGAGCUAAUACCGGAUAAUAUUUUGAACCGCAUGGUUCAAAAGUGAAAGACGGUCUUGCUGUCACUUAUAGAUGGAUCCGCGCUGCAUUAGCUAGUUGGUAAGGUAACGGCUUACCAAGGCAACGAUGCAUAGCCGACCUGAGAGGGUGAUCGGCCACACUGGAACUGAGACACGGUCCAGACUCCUACGGGAGGCAGCAGUAGGGAAUCUUCCGCAAAGGGCGAAAGCCUGACGGAGCAACGCCGCGUGAGUGAUGAAGGUCUUCGGAUCGUAAAACUCUGUUAUUAGGGAAGAACAUAUGUGUAAGUAACUGUGCACAUCUUGACGGUACCUAAUCAGAAAGCCACGGCUAACUACGUG
RNAcentral lists this ribosomal RNA (497 nucleotides) under uncultured bacterium. RNAcentral's name for it is "partial 16S ribosomal RNA". It matches the Rfam family "Bacterial small subunit ribosomal RNA", at positions 28 to 507 of the family's 1533-position model. The record is from RNAcentral.